This 2139-nucleotide long non-coding RNA is filed under the name Mus musculus (house mouse). RNAcentral describes it as "functional intergenic repeating RNA element". Lineage: Eukaryota; Metazoa; Chordata; Mammalia; Rodentia; Muridae. The record is from RNAcentral.
GACAGUGGGCGGGACUAAGGGGGCCACCUGCAGACACACCCUGGCUUCGGGACCGUCUUCCUUCUCUUCCCCCUCGGGGCCUAGAGGAGGCCACGCGCGGGGUCUCCGAGCUCUAGGGUCCGGAGCUCUAGGGUCCUUUUAUGUAGCAAAGUCAGGCCUGGGAACAGAACUUCAUGUGCUUGUAAAAAGUCUCAGGUGCGUCCUCGUUGUUUUAGAGACUUGGAGAGGAAUGGGGGCGGGGGGAACAAAAUCCGAGGACAGUCGAGCCAAGAAAAGUCGGGGCUUCUAGGAUGCCAACCACGCCAAACAGAUCAAAACCAGGACUGGAGGACUGAAGAUGAAGCCGGCAAAAAGUCACCAGCCACGGCUCUUGUAAGGUAUGCUUCACCUCUCCUGCUAAGUCUUCAUCCCUGUCUAUGAGGACAAAGAAGUUACGGGUUAAAUUGGCGAUGGGCCAGGCGCUCCUUGAGGAUGCUCUAAAGUUCCAGGGAAUCUGAUGCCUUCUUCUAACCAUCACGAAGACAAGUUGGUGAUAGAAAAUGGGAGAACUGAAGACAACCACUUUAUAAAACCCUUGCCUGCUUGAAUUUGUGGUGAUGAACCGGCCCCUGGGAUUUGCUGCUCAGAACCUGAGUUCACUGAGACAUCAGGAGCAAGCACUGGAGGCCGGGUGCUGCUGGAUCCUGAUGGGAGCCAUGCAGGACUUGACCAUGGCCUGCACACACUUCUUCCCAGGAGAAGGGGAAUGAGGAAGGACUGGCCCCUGGGAUUUGCUGCUCAGUUCACUGAGACAUCAGGAGCAAGCACUGGAGGCCGGUGCUGCUGGACCCAGAUGGGAGCCAUGCAGGACUUGACCAUGGCCUGCAUACACUUCUUCCCAGGAGAAGGGGAAUGAGGAAGAACUGGACGAUGAAUUUUAACCUCCACACCACAAGCACUGGGGUAGAAGACUGCUGCUGGGUGAAGAAGAGACUAGACUUGAUCAUUGAGCAGCCACUCACUGAUAUCUUCAGUGCUGCAUGAGGAAGAGUUUAUUCUUCUGGAUUUGGUGGUGGAUUCUGGUGAAGAUACAGAUGGAUGCUCUGGCUGAGUCGCUACCUUGAAAUGAAAAUGGGAGGUAAACUCUCCCAUAGAUGAAUCUUCCUCAUUUUGAAGGUAAAGGGCUUGAAGGUGAGAGAAGGGUAAUCAAGGAUGGCCUUUGUGGCCAUAUGUGGUGUCCUUCUGCCAUCAUGUAUGCAGAGCUACAGUGCAGAGCCAUUACAGCUUCAUUCCCAUGAAUCCUAGUAGUGGGGACACAAUGCCAGAACCGGCCCCUGAGAUUUGCUGCUCAGAACCUGAGUUCACUGAGACAUAGGGAGCAAGCACUGGAGAUCCGGUGCUGCUGGACCCAGGUGGGCGCCAUGCAGGACUUGACCAUGGCCUGCACACACUUCUUCCCAGGAGAAGGGGAGUGAGGAAGAACCGGCCCCUGGGAUUUGCUGCUCAGAACCUGAGUUCACUGAGACAUCAGGAGCAAGCACUGGAGGCCAGGUGCUGCUGGACCCAGAUGGGAGCCAUGCAGGACUUGACCAUGGCCUGCACACACUUCUUCCCAGGAGAAGGGGAAUGAGGAAGAAAGGCUCAUGGCGUCUAUGUCGUAAAUGAGCUGUGGAUUUGCUAUGCCCCUUCUCUUCAGCAACCCUUAUUUUUCUUGCCUGUACAUCUCUACUGUGGGAAUCACAGGGAAGCUGCUGCAGCACAACUUGAAAUAGAAAGCUGGAUGGUAUGAAUUUAGGACAAGAACAUGAGAAGAAGGGCUCCAGAGAGGAUUCAUUAAGAGCAUUUUCUGCUCUUCCAGAAGCAUCCGAGUUUGGUGUGGGCACCCAAGUCAUUAGGCUCAGAGCUGCUUGGUCUGGAUCCCCUAGGGUUGCCACCAGGAUCACCAGAAAGUUUGUUAAAUAGAGAAGCACUUGAUAGAAGGCACCUGGAUAAGGAUGGACAGAAAUCAGAGGCCUUGGCUAUCUGGAUUCUGACUUCUUCAAAAAGAUGAGAUGAUAGAUGAGAGUGGGUGCCUUAGAUCUCACUUCCUUUUCUUUAACAUAUUUUUGUUGCUGGGAUGAGAUUCUAGCCAUUCCUAAUAUAAAUACUAUUGAAAGCAAA